GCAUUGAGUUCCAGAGACCCAAAUAGAGGUAGAAAACAAUGGGAAAAAAAAAUGCAAAAAGCAUUAGAGAAGAAUCGAGAAACAUGAGGAAAAAGAGAGAGAAAAGAGGGGAAGAGAAACAACAAAUAGAAUUGUAAAUAAACAGGGAAAGGAGCAGCAACAUUGAUGUAAACAGGGUCGAAUUAUGCUUCUCGAUUGGGGUUGAUUCUUGACUGCAACAAGGUUACACCAAAUUGUAGUAGCUCGGGAAAUAUCGAGGUCAGGACACUUGAUGAUCGAAUUAGUCCUAUAGCACCAACUCAAAAUAUGAUGGGUCUCGACGAGUGGAUAUAGCCGUCUUUGAAGAUGGACGACCCUUUGUCUUAGUUUUGAUUUGUGACUCAACUAAUGAUGUAGAACUCGGACUAGCAACCUCUUUCAAUUUAUGUAGGAUUUCUACCUUUACAUGAUCAUUAUUAUCUUGAUAAUGUUUAUGAAUCAUCUCAAAUAAUGAUGCACAAUUAAUCUCAAAUUCUAGUCAUUGAUGUGUCAAACUUGCCUUGAAAAGACCCUAAAUGUCUCUUAAGUUUCGCAUGUGCAGAUUCAGCCUUACCA
This is a long non-coding RNA of Olea europaea var. sylvestris, 594 nucleotides long. RefSeq lists it as uncharacterized. The record is from RefSeq and is a predicted model, not a curated record. The transcript is spliced from 3 exons. Lineage: Eukaryota; Viridiplantae; Streptophyta; Magnoliopsida; Lamiales; Oleaceae.